This 1058-nucleotide long non-coding RNA is filed under the name Homo sapiens (human). Its description in RNAcentral is "uncharacterized LOC101928191 (LOC101928191)". Lineage: Eukaryota; Metazoa; Chordata; Mammalia; Primates; Hominidae. The record is from RNAcentral.
ACUAUGUGCGAGAGGCAGGGCGAUGCGGCUGGCAGAUAGUGAGAGGGAUCAUCCAGUUGGAUGGCUUCAGGGACAUGGAAAUCACUAGACUUUUAGAAACCUUCUUCGAAGUGGCAGUGCUCGUGAAGUUCUUUACCUUUACCAAAGGCAUGGCUCUCCAGAGAGCACAGGCUCCUGCACAAGAACCAGCACUUCAUCAGGAGAGGCUGCAGGUACUAAGUGAUGUCCUUGGCUCAGUUUUGUUUCCAUGGUAACUGUAUGCCACUUUUCACUAGCACGUUUCAACAUUUUCAUAACAGAGUUAAAACUACAUACACAGAACACCUCAAAAAUAAACACAAACGCAGUCAAGUCAUCUUAAAAGAAUGUGAAAUCCAUGUGUAUGUGUUGGUGGCUGCAGAGGGGGUGUGCUCCUGCUCUCACAAGAACCCGGCUUUCUUCAUUUCCAAGAAAAGUGAAGACAGGUACAAUCUGAGGAGCUUCUGAACUUAUCUUGGGUAGCCGACUGGGCACAAGUUUCAGUGAACGUAUGUUUGGCAUCUGUGUUGUAUUUUUCAACUUACAAAACUUCUGUUAAAAACAAUGUUUAAUGCCAGACCUAUGGUUAACAGCCAAGCUCCCCUAAGUUAAGGCAUUUUUUGAAACCUUGCUCUGAAGUGACACCCUGUGGUAAACAAUGAUAAAGGCCAACAGUCUUUCCUGAGCAAGAACAGAAUCUACCAAAAGAUCCUCUGUGGUUUUUACAGCGCUUUCCCAAGAGCAUGAGAGCCCUUCAGGUGGACAGAGGGCAACACACUCCAGGCUGAUGGAAGACAGACGAUGAAGAUGUGAUUAAAACCCUAACCAAACUAUUUCUGCAUGAGCAAGCGGGGCACUGUCGAUACUCUCAGAAUCACAGCAGCCACUCCUUAUAAACCGCUCCGAACUUGCUGAUAUGCUCUGUACUGUAUACAUAGCUCACGUGACACAAAACACAAACCAACUGCUGAGAGAGGUAAUUCAGUGAAUAAACGGCAAAAGUUGGCUUUGAAAAAAAAAAAAAAAAAAAAAAAAAAAAA